GUGCAGACUCCUACGGGAGGCAGCAGUGGGGAAUAUUGGGCAAUGGAGGAAACUCUUACCCAGCAAUGCCGCGUGAAUGAAGAAGGUCUUCGGAUUGUAAAGUUCUUUAAUUGGGGACGAAAAAAAUGACGGUACCCAAGGAAUAAGCCCCGGCUAACUACGUGCCAGCAGCCGCGGUAAUACGUAGGGGGCAAGCGUUGUUCGGAAUGACUGGGCGUAAAGGGUGCGUAGGCGGGCGAGAAAGUUGAAUGUUAAAUCUACCGGCUUAACUGGUAGCUGCGUUCAAAACUUCUUGUCUUGAGUGAAGUAGAGGCAGACGGAAUUCCUAGUGUAGCGGUGAAAUGCGUAGAUAUUAGGAGGAACACCAGUGGCGAAGGCGGUCUGCUGGACAGCAACUGACGCUGAGGCGCGAAAGCGUGGGGAGCAAACAGGAUUAGAUACCCCUGUAC
Molecule: ribosomal RNA, 449 nt
Filed under: uncultured bacterium
Lineage: Bacteria
Description: bacterial SSU rRNA
Rfam family: Bacterial small subunit ribosomal RNA
Source: RNAcentral